AUUGAACGCUGGCGGAAUGCUUUACACAUGCAAGUCGAACGGCAGCACGGACUUCGGUCUGGUGGCGAGUGGCGAACGGGUGAGUAAUGUAUCGGAACGUGCCCAGUCGUGGGGGAUAACGUAGUGAAAAUUACGCUAAUACCGCAUACGAUCUAUGGAUGAAAGCGGGGGAUCGCAAGACCUCGCGCGAUUGGAGCGGCCGAUAUCAGAUUAGGUAGUUGGUGGGGUAAAGGCCCACCAAGCCAACGAUCUGUAGCUGGUCUGAGAGGACGACCAGCCAGACUGGAACAGAGACACGGUCCAGACUCCUACGGGAGGCAGCAGUGGGGAAUUUUGGACAAUGGGCGAAAGCCUGAUCCAGCCAUUCCGCGUGCAGGAUGAAGGCCCUCGGGUUGUAAACUGCUUUUGUACAGAACGAAAAGGUUUCUACUAAUACUAGGAGCUCAUGACGGUACUGUAAGAAUAAGCACCGGCUAACUACGUGCCAGCAGCCGCAGUAA
This 500-nucleotide ribosomal RNA is filed under the name uncultured bacterium. Its description in RNAcentral is "partial 16S ribosomal RNA". It matches the Rfam family "Bacterial small subunit ribosomal RNA", at positions 30 to 523 of the family's 1533-position model. The record is from RNAcentral.